RNAcentral lists this ribosomal RNA (2899 nucleotides) under Klebsiella pneumoniae subsp. pneumoniae. RNAcentral describes it as "23S ribosomal RNA". It matches the Rfam family "Bacterial large subunit ribosomal RNA". The record is from RNAcentral. Lineage: Bacteria; Pseudomonadati; Pseudomonadota; Gammaproteobacteria; Enterobacterales; Enterobacteriaceae.
UUAAGCGACUAAGCGUACACGGUGGAUGCCCUGGCAGUCAGAGGCGAUGAAGGACGUGCUAAUCUGCGAAAAGCGUCGGUAAGGUGAUAUGAACCGUUAUAACCGGCGAUGUCCGAAUGGGGAAACCCAGUGCAAUUCGUUGCACUAUCGUUAACUGAAUACAUAGGUUAACGAGGCGAACCGGGGGAACUGAAACAUCUAAGUACCCCGAGGAAAAGAAAUCAACCGAGAUUCCCCCAGUAGCGGCGAGCGAACGGGGAGCAGCCCAGAGUCUGAAUCAGCUUGUGUGUUAGUGGAACGGUCUGGAAAGUCCGACGGUACAGGGUGAUAGUCCCGUACACCAAAAUGCACAGGUUGUGAACUCGAAGAGUAGGGCGGGACACGUGGUAUCCUGUCUGAAUAUGGGGGGACCAUCCUCCAAGGCUAAAUACUCCUGACUGACCGAUAGUGAACCAGUACCGUGAGGGAAAGGCGAAAAGAACCCCGGCGAGGGGAGUGAAAAAGAACCUGAAACCGUGUACGUACAAGCAGUGGGAGCACCUUCGGGUGUGACUGCGUACCUUUUGUAUAAUGGGUCAGCGACUUAUAUUCUGUAGCAAGGUUAACCGUAUAGGGGAGCCGCAGGGAAACCGAGUCUUAACUGGGCGUUAAGUUGCAGGGUAUAGACCCGAAACCCGGUGAUCUAGCCAUGGGCAGGUUGAAGGUUGGGUAACACUAACUGGAGGACCGAACCGACUAAUGUUGAAAAAUUAGCGGAUGACUUGUGGCUGGGGGUGAAAGGCCAAUCAAACCGGGAGAUAGCUGGUUCUCCCCGAAAGCUAUUUAGGUAGCGCCUCGUGAACUCAUCUUCGGGGGUAGAGCACUGUUUCGGCUAGGGGGUCAUCCCGACUUACCAACCCGAUGCAAACUACGAAUACCGAAGAAUGUUAUCACGGGAGACACACGGCGGGUGCUAACGUCCGUCGUGAAGAGGGAAACAACCCAGACCGCCAGCUAAGGUCCCAAAGUCAUGGUUAAGUGGGAAACGAUGUGGGAAGGCACAGACAGCCAGGAUGUUGGCUUAGAAGCAGCCAUCAUUUAAAGAAAGCGUAAUAGCUCACUGGUCGAGUCGGCCUGCGCGGAAGAUGUAACGGGGCUAAACCAUGCACCGAAGCUGCGGCAGCGACACUAUGUGUUGUUGGGUAGGGGAGCGUUCUGUAAGCCUGCGAAGGUGACCUGUGAGGGUUGCUGGAGGUAUCAGAAGUGCGAAUGCUGACAUAAGUAACGAUAAAGCGGGUGAAAAGCCCGCUCGCCGGAAGACCAAGGGUUCCUGUCCAACGUUAAUCGGGGCAGGGUGAGUCGACCCCUAAGGCGAGGCCGAAAGGCGUAGUCGAUGGGAAACAGGUUAAUAUUCCUGUACUUGGUGUUACUGCGAAGGGGGGACGGAGAAGGCUAUGUUAGCCGGGCGACGGUUGUCCCGGUUUAAGCAUGUAGGCUGGUUGUCCAGGCAAAUCCGGAUAAUCAAGGCUGAGGUGUGAUGACGAGGCACUACGGUGCUGAAGUAACAAAUGCCCUGCUUCCAGGAAAAGCCUCUAAGCAUCAGGUAACAUUAAAUCGUACCCCAAACCGACACAGGUGGUCAGGUAGAGAAUACCAAGGCGCUUGAGAGAACUCGGGUGAAGGAACUAGGCAAAAUGGUGCCGUAACUUCGGGAGAAGGCACGCUGGUGUGUAGGUGAAGUCCCUGCGGAUGGAGCUGAGACCAGUCGAAGAUACCAGCUGGCUGCAACUGUUUAUUAAAAACACAGCACUGUGCAAACACGAAAGUGGACGUAUACGGUGUGACGCCUGCCCGGUGCCGGAAGGUUAAUUGAUGGGGUUAUCCGUAAGGAGAAGCUCUUGAUCGAAGCCCCGGUAAACGGCGGCCGUAACUAUAACGGUCCUAAGGUAGCGAAAUUCCUUGUCGGGUAAGUUCCGACCUGCACGAAUGGCGUAAUGAUGGCCAGGCUGUCUCCACCCGAGACUCAGUGAAAUUGAACUCGCUGUGAAGAUGCAGUGUACCCGCGGCAAGACGGAAAGACCCCGUGAACCUUUACUAUAGCUUGACACUGAACAUUGAGCCUUGAUGUGUAGGAUAGGUGGGAGGCUUUGAAGCGUGGACGCCAGUCUGCGUGGAGCCAACCUUGAAAUACCACCCUUUAAUGUUUGAUGUUCUAACGUUGGCCCCUUACCGGGGUUGCGGACAGUGUCUGGUGGGUAGUUUGACUGGGGCGGUCUCCUCCCAAAGCGUAACGGAGGAGCACGAAGGUUAGCUAAUCCUGGUCGGACAUCAGGAGGUUAGUGCAAUGGCAUAAGCUAGCUUGACUGCGAGCGUGACGGCGCGAGCAGGUGCGAAAGCAGGUCAUAGUGAUCCGGUGGUUCUGAAUGGAAGGGCCAUCGCUCAACGGAUAAAAGGUACUCCGGGGAUAACAGGCUGAUACCGCCCAAGAGUUCAUAUCGACGGCGGUGUUUGGCACCUCGAUGUCGGCUCAUCACAUCCUGGGGCUGAAGUAGGUCCCAAGGGUAUGGCUGUUCGCCAUUUAAAGUGGUACGCGAGCUGGGUUUAGAACGUCGUGAGACAGUUCGGUCCCUAUCUGCCGUGGGCGCUGGAGAAUUGAGGGGGGCUGCUCCUAGUACGAGAGGACCGGAGUGGACGCAUCACUGGUGUUCGGGUUGUCAUGCCAAUGGCACUGCCCGGUAGCUAAAUGCGGAAGAGAUAAGUGCUGAAAGCAUCUAAGCACGAAACUUGCCCCGAGAUGAGUUCUCCCUGAGACUUUAAGUCUCCUGAAGGAACGUUAAAGACGAUGACGUUGAUAGGCCGGGUGUGUAAGCGCAGCGAUGCGUUGAGCUAACCGGUACUAAUGAACCGUGAGGCUUAACCU